Molecule: ribosomal RNA, 337 nt
Filed under: uncultured soil bacterium
Lineage: Bacteria
Description: bacterial SSU rRNA
Rfam family: Bacterial small subunit ribosomal RNA
Source: RNAcentral
AGGACGAACGCUGGCGGCGUGCUUAAAACAUGCAAGUCGAACGGAGACCAUGGAGUCGCAAGACUCCGGAAGUCUGAGUGGCGAACGGGUGCGUAACACGUGAGGAACCUGCCCCAGAGACCGGGAUAACCCUCCGAAAGGAGAGCUAAUACCGGAUGUCCUCAUCGGAUCACCUGGUCUGAUGAGGAAAUGGAUUCCGCUCUGGGAUGGCCUCGCGGCCUAUCAGCUUGUUGGUGGGGUAAUGGCCUACCAAGGCGACGACGGGUAGCUGGUCUGAGAGGACGAUCAGCCACACUGGGACUGAGACACGGCCCAGACUCCACGGGAGCAGCAGUUA